UGCAUAGCCGGCCUGAGAGGGCGGACGGCCACAUUGGGACUGAGACACGGCCCAAACUCCUACGGGAGGCAGCAGUAGGGAAUUUUCGUCAAUGGGGGGAACCCUGAACGAGCAAUGCCGCGUGAGUGAGGAAGGUCUUCGGAUCGUAAAGCUCUGUUGUAAGAGAAAAGCGGCACUCAUAGGGAAUGAUGAGUGAGUGAUGGUAUCUUACCAGAAAGUCACGGCUAACUACGUGCCAGCAGCCGCGGUAAUACGUAGGUGGCGAGCGUUAUCCGGAAUGAUUGGGCGUAAAGGGUGCGUAGGUGGCAGAUCAAGUCUGGAGUAAAAGGUAUGGGCUCAACCCGUACUGGCUCUGGAAACUGAUCAGCUAGAGAACAGAAGAGGACGGCGGAACUCCAUGUGUAGCGGUAAAAUGCGUAGAUAUAUGGAAGAACACCGGUGGCGAAGGCGGCCGUCUGGUCUGGAUUCUGACACUGAAGCACGAAAGCGUGGGGAGCAAAUAGGAUUAGAUACCCUAGUAGUCCACGCCGUAAACGAUGAGAACUAGGUGUUGGGGGAAUAACUCAGUGCCGCAGUUAACGCAGUAAGUUCUCCGCCUGGGGAGUAUGCACGCAAGUGUGAAACUCAAAGGAAUUGACGGGGGCCCGCACAAGCGGUGGAGUAUGUGGUUUAAUUCGAAGCAACGCGAAGAACCUUACCAGGCCUUGACAUCCCUUGCAGAGGUAUAGAGAUAUAUCCGAGGUUAUCAAGGAGACAGGUGGUGCAUGGUUGUCGUCAGCUCGUGUCGUGAGAUGUUGGGUUAAGUCCCGCAACGAGCGCAACCCUUGUGAUAUGUUACUAACAUUGAGUUGAGGACUCAUAUCAGACUGCCGGUGAUAAACCGGAGGAAGGUGGGGAUGACGUCAAAUCAUCAUGCCCCUUAUGGCCUGGGCUACACACGUACUACAAUGGCGUCUACAAAGAGCGGCAAGCCUGUGAAGGCAAGCGAAUCUCAUAAAGGACGUCUCAGUUCGGAUUGAAGUCUGCAACCCGACUUCAUGAAGCUGGAAUCGCUAGUAAUCGCGAAUCAGCAUGUCGCGGUGAAUACGUUCUCGGGCCUUGUACACACCGCCCGUCAAACCAUGGGAGUUGGUAAUGCCCGAAGCCGGUGGCAUAACCCUUCGGGGAGUGAGCCGUCGAAGGCAGGACCGAUGACUGGGGUUAAGUCGUAACAAGGUA
RNAcentral lists this ribosomal RNA (1218 nucleotides) under metagenome. Its description in RNAcentral is "bacterial SSU rRNA". It matches the Rfam family "Bacterial small subunit ribosomal RNA", at positions 280 to 1498 of the family's 1533-position model. The record is from RNAcentral.